GACGAACGCUGGCGGCGUGCCUAAUACAUGCAAGUCGAACGAAGCUGUUUUAACUGGUGCUUGCACCGACUUAAACAACUGAGUGGCGAACGGGUGAGUAACACGUGGGUAACCUGCCCCAAAGCGGGGGAUAACAUUUGGAAACAGAUGCUAAUACCGCAUAACCACAGAAACCACAUGGUUUCUGUGUCAAAGAUGGUUUCGGCUAUCACUUUGGGAUGGACCCGCGGCGUAUUAGCUAGUUGGUAAGGUAAUGGCUUACCAAGGCAAUGGUAAGUAGCCGAACUGAGGGGUUGAUCGGCCACAUUGGGACUGAGACACGGCCCAAACUCCUACGGGAGGCAGCAGUAGGGAAUCUUCCACAAUGGACGAAAGUCUGAUGGAGCAACGCCGCGUGAGUGAAGAAGGUUUUCGGAUCGUAAAACUCUGUUGUCAGAGAAGAACGUGUGCGAGAGUAACUGUUCGUGCAGUGACGGUAUCUGGCCAGAAAGCCACGGCUAACUACGUGCCAGCAGCCGCCGUAA
This 524-nucleotide ribosomal RNA is filed under the name uncultured bacterium. RNAcentral's name for it is "partial 16S ribosomal RNA". It matches the Rfam family "Bacterial small subunit ribosomal RNA", at positions 28 to 523 of the family's 1533-position model. The record is from RNAcentral.